Molecule: unclassified non-coding RNA, 216 nt
Filed under: soil metagenome
Description: partial contains 5.8S ribosomal RNA, internal transcribed spacer 2, and large subunit ribosomal RNA
Source: RNAcentral
AACUGAUACUACCUGCGGGAACCUGCGGAGGGAUCAUUACCGAGUUUACAACUCCCAAACCCAUGUGAACAUACCUGUCUUGUUGCUUCGGCGGCGCCCACGGCCCUCACAGGCUUGGGGCCCGCCAGAGGACCCAAACAAAACUCUUUGCAUUUUGAAUACAGUAUUCUGAGUGACAUGAUUAAAUAAAAUCAAAACUUUUAACAAUGGAUCUCU